CCUACGGGAGGCAGCAGUGGGGAAUCUUGCGCAAUGGGCGAAAGCCUGACGCAGCAACGCCGCGUGCGGGAUGAAGGCCUUCGGGUUGUAAACCGCUUUUAACAGGAACGAAAAUGACGGUACCUGUAGAAUAAGGUGCGGCCAACUACGUGCCAGCAGCCGCGGUGACACGUAGGCACCAAGCGUUGUCCGGAUUUAUUGGGCGUAAAGAGCUCGUAGGCGGUUCGAUAAGUCGGGUGUGAAAACUCUGGGCUUAACCCAGAGACGCCACUCGAUACUAUUGUGACUAGAGUUCGGUAGGGGAGCGGGGAAUUCCUAGUGUAGCGGUGAAAUGCGCAGAUAUUAGGAGGAACACCGGUGGCGAAGGCGCCGCUCUGGGCCGAAACUGACGCUGAGGAGCGAAAGCGUGGGUAGCAAACAGGAUUAGAUACCCUGGUAGUCCACGCCGUAAACGGUGGGCACUAGGUGUGGGCUCCAACCAACGGAGUCCGCGCCGUCGCUAACGCAUUAAGUGCCCCGCCUGGGAGUACGGCCGCAAGGUUAAACUCAAANAGAUAGACG
This 561-nucleotide ribosomal RNA is filed under the name uncultured bacterium. Its description in RNAcentral is "bacterial SSU rRNA". It matches the Rfam family "Bacterial small subunit ribosomal RNA", at positions 338 to 915 of the family's 1533-position model. The record is from RNAcentral.